RNAcentral lists this transfer RNA (76 nucleotides) under Betaproteobacteria bacterium SG8_41. RNAcentral's name for it is "tRNA-Phe". It matches the Rfam family "tRNA". From Rfam's summary of the family: Transfer RNA (tRNA) molecules are approximately 80 nucleotides in length. Their secondary structure includes four short double-helical elements and three loops (D, anti-codon, and T loops). The record is from RNAcentral. Lineage: Bacteria; Pseudomonadati; Pseudomonadota; Betaproteobacteria. RNAcentral also lists the same sequence under 14 other names.
GGCCAGGUAGCUCAGUUGGUAGAGCAGAGGACUGAAAAUCCUUGUGUCGGCGGUUCAAUUCCGUCCCUGGCCACCA